GUGUUGAUUUGGGGUGGAGAGUUCUGUAGAUGUCUAUUAGGUCCGCUUGGUGCAGAGCUGAGUUCAAUUCCUGGAUAUCCUUGUUAACUUUCUGUCUCGUUGAUCUGUCUAAUGUUGACAGUGGGGUGUUAAAGCCUCCCAUUAUUAUUGUGUGGGAGUCUAAGUCUCUUUGUAGGUCACUCAGGACUUGCUUUAUGAAUCUGGGUUCCUGUGUUGGGUGCAUA
This 224-nucleotide long non-coding RNA is filed under the name Homo sapiens (human). RNAcentral describes it as "HSALNT0353001". The record is from RNAcentral. Lineage: Eukaryota; Metazoa; Chordata; Mammalia; Primates; Hominidae.